GCGGGUGUGGCGGAAUUGGCAGACGCGCCAGAUUUAGGUUCUGGUGGGAGACCGUGCAGGUUCGAUUCCUGUCACCCGCA
Molecule: transfer RNA, 80 nt
Filed under: Lachnospiraceae bacterium
Lineage: Bacteria; Bacillati; Bacillota; Clostridia; Lachnospirales; Lachnospiraceae
Also listed under: 1 other name
Description: tRNA-Leu
Rfam family: tRNA
About the family: Transfer RNA (tRNA) molecules are approximately 80 nucleotides in length. Their secondary structure includes four short double-helical elements and three loops (D, anti-codon, and T loops).
Source: RNAcentral